Molecule: long non-coding RNA, 1335 nt
Organism: Esox lucius (northern pike)
Lineage: Eukaryota; Metazoa; Chordata; Actinopteri; Esociformes; Esocidae
Source: Ensembl
CUUAAACAAAAAUAAUAAUAUCAUCAUAAUUGGCACAAUGCUUUUAUUUUGGAGACGCAAUUCUUGUUCUUGAACUUUUAUUUUGGAAUGGACUCUGCUGAUGGUACCUAGCUUCUCUGCCCCCACCAUCGCAACGACUGACUGCUUGUUUCGCUCAGUUUGGGCCACGCUAAGUGAUUAUGCUAAAUUGCUUGGAUGACUUAUGGGAAAGUACUGUACCGCACAGGAGUUUGUUAUUGGCACAUAGAGUAAAACGUGUAAAUAUAUUUUAACAGCCACGUUAGAACGACAAAUCUGCAAACCUCCUAGCUAAAUAUGGAUAUUACUUUGUUUGCUAGGUACAGUCAUUCUCAAUUUUGCCAACAACACCUAAGAAGAAAAUAGGAGUGCUAAGGAUUCCCUGCAAACAAAACCCAUCAUCCCCGGAGAGAGGCAGCCAUGAUGGUGGCCACUGACAGAAAGAGGCUUUCAAGGAGCUGGAGACAAAAGCCAGUGAACAGCACACACUGACCCCAGAGAGUCCAGAUAAUCCCAUCCCAUUCAAGGCUUUGAACUCUUGCAGGACUGGCAGGCAGAGGGGUUUGCACGCUGAUCUUUCGCAUCAACCAUCACUGCACUACAGACUGCAAAUAAUCGAUACGUAUCAUUUUGAAUGGUGUGACCAGGACCUUGUGACUACAGAGAGAGCGGGUGAAAAGGAACUCUGGAGCCUGAGAUGAAGCGGAUGUUCAGUGUGAUCUAUAUCCACCUUUAAAUGAACAGACACGCACCAACAGAGGCAAAGACCGACAACGAAAGAUGCACAGACACGCACACGAACAGACAAGCAGACGCACAAAUGCAGACGCAAGCAGGCACGCGGACAGACGCACACAGAGACAAGCAGUCCACCUCCCGCUCCUUUCAUGGGCACCUCUUACCUACACCUGGUUGUAGUGUCAUUGAUUGGACCACCUGACAUCAAUUACCCACUUUGGAAGUCAUCGUUAUCACAGAGAUACACAUACUUUUUCCAGGCUAAGCUGUUUAUGUUUGACCAAUGUGUUCAAUAAAACUACACAUUUCUGUGUGGUAUUUUUUAAAUAACAGUGAUAAUGUAUUAUUAUGACUUGGAUGUAAAUCAGGAUGCAUUUUAGUCAGUUAUGCAGGUAAUUCAGAAGAACUUACAACCUUUUAUCGCAAAUGUACCUGUUAGCCACAAUAUUCCAAGUUUGAAAGCAAAUGGUUUUGAUGGCAUGGGGCCCAUAUGGAUACACAUGAUACAGUACACCAUUUCUUGGGUGUGGUUUUGGCUCAGCAGCAAGUCAAAACCUAGUCAGAGCAUCUAGAUCUUCU